ACUUAGGCUAUCUCUUUCCCUUCCCCAAAUGCCAUUAAAAUUAAACGUAACAUUUAUUAUUAUUUUUUAAAAAACAUUAAAAAUUUAGAAAACCCAAAACCUUUUUUCAAAACCCCUUUUUCCUUAAAAAUAUUUUACCCUUUUGUUUUUUUUUUAAAAAAAACCUAAAAUUAUCUCUUCUCCCUCACUUCUUAGCCGAAGGGCUAAAACCCAGCUCUCAUUCGCCGCCUCAUGCGCGGCCGUAAACAGCCAUCGGAAGGCCAAAGUUCUCCCCCUUUUGCCAACGAAUCGAAAGGCUUUAUAGCCAAAAUACAAACAGUUUCUGCCUAUUUCUUUGCUCAAGUCGCAGAUGCUGUGAAAUCGUGGAGGAAGAGUGCAUGAUCGUGCAACGUGCGAGCUAGGAAUCCGUUCGUGGAUGUUGAAGCGUGAGAGUUGCGGCGUGGGCAAAUGGAACCCUAGGGUUUGCUAUUUUUUAAAAAAUUUUAGGUCAUUGGGCUUGUAAUCGGGCCUUUUAAUUUUAGUGAUUUGGGUCUGUAUCUUGGGCCAGGCAAAAUUUGGGCCCUACACAAGUCAUACUGGGAUCAACUACAUAAGGAAAAGUUGGCGAUCGAGACGUUCUUUGUCGCUAAUUGAUUCAAGAUUGGAGUACACCGAAGCUAUGGCUAAGCUUUAAAAAAUAUUUUAUUUUUCCAUUUAAUUUUAUUUCGUUUUUUUUUUUUGCAAUCAAGUUUUUACUUUAUUUCAUAUACAUAUUUUCUUUUUCUUCUUUUAAUAUUAUUAUCUUUAUCCACUAAACUCUCCCUUUUUUUUAUUUUCCAGCAUUGCAACAUAUUGGUUGUGGGCACGACUGUUACCAUGACAGUAAUUUUGGUAGCAAGAAAAUGCGAAAUUAAACAACCAGUCCUUGUGGAUUCGACCCCACUGUUCUAUACUGUUAUUUACUGUUAUUUUGUCGUAGGAAUUUAUACUUGGUGGUUUCAACGCCAAUCAGUUGUGAUUAACUGUUGUUAGCUUUUAACUUUUGAAAUUACUAUAACUUUAAAAAAAUAAUUAAAAAUUAUUUUGACA
Molecule: long non-coding RNA, 1068 nt
Organism: Gossypium arboreum
Lineage: Eukaryota; Viridiplantae; Streptophyta; Magnoliopsida; Malvales; Malvaceae
Exons: 2
Source: RefSeq, a predicted model, not a curated record